UCUGCCCAUCAUAGGCGUUGUCAUGGUGACUUGUGUUUCUGUGAUGUCAAGGUGUGGCAAAUACCAAAUAGUCCAUCAUAGGCGUUGUCAUGGUGACCCAUGUUACCAUGAUGUCAAGAGUGGACAAACAUG
Molecule: small nucleolar RNA, 132 nt
Organism: Haliotis rubra (blacklip abalone)
Lineage: Eukaryota; Metazoa; Mollusca; Gastropoda; Lepetellida; Haliotidae
Product: small nucleolar RNA SNORA17
Exons: 1
Source: RefSeq, a predicted model, not a curated record